This 494-nucleotide ribosomal RNA is filed under the name uncultured bacterium. Its description in RNAcentral is "partial 16S ribosomal RNA". It matches the Rfam family "Bacterial small subunit ribosomal RNA", at positions 28 to 507 of the family's 1533-position model. The record is from RNAcentral.
GACGAACGCUGGCGGCGUGCUUAACACAUGCAAGUCGAACGGUGAAGCGCCUUCCUUUUUGGUGGGUGUGGAUGAGUGGCGAACGGGUGAGUAACACGUGAGUAACCUGCCCCCUUCUUCUGGAUAACCGCAUGAAAGUGUGGCUAAUACGGGAUAUUCUGGGUCUGUCGCAUGAUGGGUCUGGGAAAGAUAUUGUUUCGGUGGGGGAUGGGCUCGCGGCCUAUCGGCUUGUUGGUGGGGUGAUGGCCUACCAAGGCGGUGACGGGUAGCCGGCCUGAGAGGGUGGACGGUCACACUGGGACUGAGACACGGCCCAGACUCCUACGGGAGGCAGCAGUGGGGAAUAUUGCACAAUGGGCGCAAGCCUGAUGCAGCGACGCCGCGUGAGGGAUGGAGGCCUUCGGGUUGUGAACCUCUUUCGCCAGUGAAGCAGGCCUGCCUCGUUUGUGGGUGGGUUGACGGUAGCUGGAGAAGAAGCGCCGGCUAACUACGUG